This 92-nucleotide transfer RNA is filed under the name bacterium. RNAcentral describes it as "tRNA-Ser". It matches the Rfam family "tRNA". From Rfam's summary of the family: Transfer RNA (tRNA) molecules are approximately 80 nucleotides in length. Their secondary structure includes four short double-helical elements and three loops (D, anti-codon, and T loops). RNAcentral also lists the same sequence under 3 other names. The record is from RNAcentral.
GGAGAGGUGACCGAGUGGCUGAAGGUGCUCGCCUGCUAAGCGAGUGAGGGGAUCAUACUCCUCCGAGGGUUCGAAUCCCUCCCUCUCCGCCA